UAUUAAAGAGCUUAUAAAACAGUAUAUUUCUUUAAAAUAAAAUUCUUAAAUGUGUAAUCUCUAAAUUUGUAAUAGAAUAGAAUACAGAAUAAACUUUAUUUCCUUGUAUGGGAUAUUCAGCACACUUUGACACCAAAGGUGUUAUCAGCAACUCAUCUGAUGCUCUAACUAGAUUCAAAUGAACAGUAAACCUCUAAAAGGAACCCUUUGGUGAAUUUAUGCAAGAAGCAGAAGAAUGUUUACAAUUUCGUGUGUAAGAAUAUUUAUUUUUAUAUGUCCACAUCUGUAUUUACAUCUAUCAUCCAUCUAUAUUAUAACUAAGAAUGGCCCAGAAACUGUAUUAACUGCUUUAUUUGGAUUGUUUCAUUUAAUUCUGGCAGAAAUUAUUUGAGUGGGAAUUGGAACUCAGAUUCAACUUCAAAGUCCAGAUUCUUUACCAUUAUGUUUUUAGGUAUAACCCCACUUUUAAGCCUGUAAGCAAAUGAUGGCUUUUAAAUUCUCAGUAUGGCUUAACCUCUGGAAGAAAACCCGAAAGAUGCUGCAAAGAGAACUCUUUUUCAGUUUGGCUUUGGGAAAUAAAUGUAGAAUAAGUCUUUGUAUUAUAUUGAAAACAAGUGAAUUUAUGAAUGCAUGGCGUUAUGUUCUCAGUGCCAUUCCACUUUUGGUUGCAUUUUAUAUUCAUCUCAGGCUACCUGGAAUGGAAUAGGGGAUAAAAUCACAGUUUCCAAUUUCCUACACUGACCUAAAGAGGCAAUUUUGGGGUAUGCUUUAUAUUUUCUCACUUUACCACUUCUUAAAGUAUCUCUAAAAGUGAGCAGACCAUAUUUAUUUCUAGAUCUCUUCAUGUGGACAAACACGGGUGCUCUUAAAAAUGUAAAUCUCUAUUAAAUUAUUGUUUAAAAAUGUAGUUCAUAGUAACCUAAACAAAUGAUAAGCCAUUAAUUUGCUUUAAUUUCUUAACACUGUGAUUAUGAAUAUCGUUGUGGGAUCUAGAGAGAAGUGACUGAGGCACUUACCUCAGAUAUGAAACUUAAGGGAUUUCCAAAAAGCUCAUAUAUCAAGAUAAAGAAUAUUUUAAUACAGUACUGUAAAAAAUCAACAUUAAUACAAAAAUUCCAUGAUGAACAAAAUAUCAAAAUUUUAAAUAAAAGUAUAAACACAAUUUAUUGUAGCAAAUAGGCCCUCAGAAAAGAGUUUAUCUGAGUCAGUCCUUAGCUUCCAGGUGAAACUACACAUAAAAUUACUAUAUUUGUUUCAGCGUUUUCUUAAGCAUCCUAGUACAAAGAAUGAACAUUUUUAUUUUCAGCAGAACCAAGCAAUAUUGCAUAUGUCUUUGUCUGUUCAGGGCUGCUUAACAGAAUACCAUAGCUUGCAUAGCUUAUAAACAACAGACAUGUAUUUCUUACAAUCCUGAAGGCCGGGAAGUCCAAGAUCCAGGUGCCAGCAGAGUCCAUGUCAGAUGAGAGCCUGCUUCCUUGUUCAUGGCCCCUUGUCACUAUGUCCUAAUGUGGUAGAAGAGAACUCAGUUUCAUCUCUGUUUUUUAAAAUUUUUAAUUUUUUAUUAUAGUUGACUUACAAUGUUCUGUCAAUUUCUGCUGCACAGCAGUGUCCCAGCUAUACACAUACAUACAUUAUUUUUUUCACUUUAUCCUCCAUCAUGUUACACUGCAUGUGACUAGAUAUAGUUUCCUGUGCUAUACAACAGGACUUCUUUGCUUAUCCACUCUGAAUGCAAUAGUUUGCAUCUACUAACCCCAAACUCCCAGUCCAUCCCACUCUCUCCCCUUCCCCCCAACCAAAAGUCUAUUCUCCAUGUCAUUGAGUUUGUUUCUUUUCUGUAGAUAUGUUAAUUUGUGCCAUCUAUUAGAUUCCAGAUAUGUGAUGUCAUAUGGUAUUUUUCUUUCUCUUUCUGAUUUGCUUCACUUACUAUGAGAGUCUCUAGUCCCAUCCAUGUUGCUGCAAAUGGCUUUUUUUUUUUUUUUGGCUCUUUACGGUUGCACCUGUAGCACAUGGAAGUUCCCAGACUAGGGGUCAGAUCAGAGCUACAGCUGAUGGCCUAUGCCACAGCAAUGCAGGAUCUGCACUGCGUCUGCAACCUGUACCACAGUUCAUGGCAAUGCCAGAUCCCUGAUUCACGGAGCAAGGCCAGGGAUCAAACCCGCAUCCUCAUGGAUACUAGUCAGAUUCAUUUUUUUCUGCACCACAAGGGGAACUCCCUAUUUUGUUAUUUUUUUUUUUUAUGGCUGUGUAGUUUUCAAUUGUGUAUAUGUACCACAUCUUCUUAAUCCAUUCAUCUGUCAGUGGACAUUCUGGUUGUUUCUGUGUCUUGGCUAUUGUGAAUAGUGCUGCAUGUAUCUUUUUCAGGGAAAGUUUGGUACAGAUAUAUACCUGGGAGUGGGAUUACUAGAUCAUAUAGUAGUUCCAUAUUUAGUUUUCUGAGAUACCUCUAUACUGUUUUCCAUUAGAGAAAUGCAAAUCAAAACUACAAUGAGGUACCACCUCACACCUGUGGGAAUGGCCAUUAUUAACAAGUCAACAAAUAACAAAUGCUGGAGAGGGCAUGGAGAAAAAGGAACCCUCCUACACUGUUGGUGAGAAUGUAAAUAGGUACCACCACUAUGUUUCAUUUCUUUUAUAAAAGCACUUAAUCCCAUUCAUAAGGGUUCUACCCUGAGAACUAAACACCUCCCAAAUGCCCCGUUUUGCACUACCAACACAUUGGUAUUAGGUUUCAACAUAGGAAUUUUGAGGGGUAAAAAAUAUUCAGUUAUGGCAAUACUGUUCUUAAAAUAAAGAAAAUAAUUUAGUGCAAUUAAGCCAACUUUGUACAUGCAACUACUGUCAUUUUGUGGGUUUCAUGUCAAUCUUUUUCCAUAUAUAUUUAUGUUUCUGUAAUUAUGGUCAUUAUACCAUUCUUACUAGCAUUAUUAUAUCUUUAAAAAAUGAUAGCUUGGAUCAAAUAAGAAUUAUAUUUAGUGCUUUUUUUCUUCCAGUUUUAUUGAGAUAUAAUUAACAUACAGCAUUGUGUAAAUUUAAGGUGUACAGCAUAAUGAUUUGAGUUACAUACAUUAUGAAAUGAUUGC
This 3083-nucleotide long non-coding RNA is filed under the name Sus scrofa (pig). RNAcentral describes it as "lncRNA (ENSSSCG00000058402.1)". The record is from RNAcentral. Lineage: Eukaryota; Metazoa; Chordata; Mammalia; Artiodactyla; Suidae.